GAAUGAAGAGUAGCACCUAGGCUACUUAUAGCAGUUCAGGUGUUCUAGAUAAUUUGUUAGCAAAAAAUAACAAACAAGUUACAGCUGUACCAGAAAUAACAGACUUAAAUCAUAAGCCAGUAUCAAGCAUUUAACAGAAAUACUAAACCAGCACAAGCACCUUGCGAGAAAGCUAUAUUGUGCUUAUCUCAAACAUAUUAUCGAACACCUGCAUAUCAUUCUUACUGCCUGAUAUUCCCCCUGUUUUCUCCUCUUCCGAGAAAACAAAAGUCGUGGAUACUGAGCAGAGUUGACAUAAUCCAAGCUUUGAUCGCAGCGCAACAAAUUGAGAUUCACUUAAAGGUUUAGUGAAUAGAUCCGCAACUUGAUUGUGUGCAGCAAUAUGAUUGAUUUGAAGAUCACCCUUUACUACUUUUUCCCGGACAAAAUGAAGAUCAAGUUCAGCAUGUUUCAUCUUGGAAUGAAGAAUAGGAUUUGCUGAUAUCUGGACAGCACCAGAAUUAUCGCACCAUAUAGUUGGAAUUCCACAACACUUCUCUCCAAGAUCAGUCAGAAGAUGGAUGAACCAAGCGAUGUCAGCCGCAGUAUUGGCGACACUUCGAAAUUCUGCCUCAGAUGUGGAGCGUGCCACUACAUGUUGCUUCUUGGAUGACCAACCAAUGAGGUUGCCACCUAUGUAGAUACAGAAACCAGAAGUAGACCUCCUAUCUUCAAGAGAGCUGCCCCAAUCCGAAUCUGAAAAAGCUGUAAUAUCAACCUGAUCCGCUGGAGUGUAAUAAAGGCCAAACUCGAUAGUUCCUUGAAGAUAUCGUCGUACUCGUUUGACUGCCACCCAGUGCUUGUCAGUUGGAGAAUGCAUGAACUGACUGAGUUUGUUUACAGCAAAAGCUAUAUCGGGACGGGUAAGACAUGCAUAUUGAAGUCCACCCACAAUGCUUCUAUAUAAAACAGCCUUGGACGUAGGUAACAAUUGACCAUCAGUUGAAGUGAGAGUAGGAGACACGACCAUUGGAGUGGGUACUGAGCCAGCAGAAGUCAUCUCAGCACGAUUGAUUAACUCACGAAUAUACUUUUUCUGCGAUAGAUGUAGAGUUCCAUUACGUCUAUGCACUUCUACUCCAAGAAAAUAAUGCAAAGGUCCCAAAUCCUUAAGAGAAAACGCUUUGUUUAACUGAUGAAUAACAUCACUUAGGUCCUUUGAAUUGCUACCAGUGAGAAUAAUGUCAUCAACAUAUACCAGACACCAUACCCUAGUUCCUUCAUUUUGACGUGUGAAUAAAGAAGGGUCAGCACAUGAAGCUUGAAAAUUCAGAUUGGAACACAAAAAAUCUUUGAGCUUUUGAAACCAAGCUCUCGGCUCUUGUUUGAGACCAUAAAGGGCCUUUCGUAGUUUGCAAACAAGAGGUUGACCUUCGAUAUUUCGCUGCUCAAAACCGGGGGGUUGUUUCAUAUACACUUCCUCAACAAGAUCUCCAUUGAGGAAGGCAUUGUUGACAUCUACUUGCCUCAAUUCCCAACCAUGAGUAACUGCCAAGGAAAGGAGAGUGCGAACAGUAUUUGCUUUUGCGACUGGACUGAACGUGUCAUGGAAGUCGAAGCCUAUUUUCUAAGCAUAACCCUUGGCAACCAGCCGAGCUUUGAAGUGAUCCACAGUACCAUCAGCUCGUUUCUUUACCUUGAACAACCACUUGCAUCCCACAGCAUGUCGAUUUGAUGGUAAGGGAACUAAGUCCCAAGUUUGAUUUCUCACCAAAGCAUCAAGUUCAUCAUGAACGGCUUGUUGCCAUUGAGGAAACUGCAUAGCUUCAUGAAUAUCUGCAGGAGAAAAAGGUAUAUUAGUAACUUGAUAAGUGAUAAUUUUCGAUUUUACAAUACCUGACUUGCCCCUUGUGAUCAUGGGGUGACUAUUAAGUUGAGACGGGUUUGGUAUAUCUUGAGACUGCACUUCAAACGCAGGUGCAGAUGCAGAAUUUGGCAAACUUUGAGAUUGGUGCCCAUCGUGUGAAAAAUUAGGUGAGUGAUCCUGAGACGAGGAAGUGCAAUUUAUGUUAGAAUUAUUAUUUUGAGAGUUGAACAGAGUAAAACCAGAAUUUGGAGAAUGAGAUGGAGGAGGAGUAGAUAUUAGUGAUGGCGAUUUAGACUGCUGCAAUGAAGAGCAAAAAUUAGUAUUAGUAGUUGGAUCAGGUGGCGAAACAAUAGGUAAAUGAACUGUAGUAAAUGGAGUGUGUGAAGAAGGUGAAGAAAUGUGCAUGUCAUCCUUUAGUGAAAAAGGAAAAAUAUAUUCCUGAAACUUAACAUGUCGAGAUAUAUACACUCGACCAUUAGGUGCAAGACACUUAUAACCCUUAUGGUUAGCAACCGUGCCCAAAAAAAUGCAAGAUAUAGACCGAAACUGCAGUUUAUUGUGAUUAUAAGGUGUCAACAAGGGAAAACAACGACAUCCAAACACUCGAAUAAGAGAGUAAUCAGGCUUAACUUGAUACAAUUUUUCAAAAGGAGUUUUAUUAUUUAUAGCCUUGGAAGGUAAGAUGUUUAUUAUAUUAAUAGCGUAAGUAAAAGCAUCAGACCAGUAUUUUAAAGGCAUGGAACUUUGUGCAAGUAAAGUAAGACCUAUUUCUACAAUUUGUCUAUGUCUUCGUUCAAUUAAACCAUUCUGUUCAGAAGUAUGAGGACAGGUUAAUCUAUGUUGUAUGCCAAAUGAUUGCAAGUACUGUACAAAUGAUCUAAACUCUCCACCACUAUUAGUUUGCAACGCCUUAAUCUUUUUAUCAAACAUUGUUUCAACUUGCUUUUUGAACACAAGAAAUGCAGACAGAGCCUCAGACUUCUGUUUCAAAAGAAAAAUCCAAACAUGUCUUGAAUAUGCAUCGAUGAAUGAAAUAUAGUAUUUAUACCCAGAAGACACACAUGGAGCUGGUCCCCAAACAUCACAGUGAAUAAGUUGUAAAGGAGAAGUAUACUCAGUGGUUGAUGAUGUAAAUGGUGUUGACACAAUUUUUUUGGAUGAAAAACGGAGUCGACUUGGGUUUUGAAAAACGAAUAUGGGAGUCGCCACCAAUCUUUUUUUUGUGAGGUGUGAUCGGGCCACCUCGUAAAAGGGGUUGUUUUUAAUAAACAAUUUAAUUUUAUUAAAACAACGGUUUUGGUCUACGAAAUUCAGAAAAAUGGGUUCGGGAGUCGGUUACGUACGAGGAAGGAUUAGCACCCUCGUAACACCCAAAAUUGGUACCUAGUUGAUUACUUAAUGUCUUGAAGUCGAAAAUUGAAAACUUUAAAGAGAUUUAAAAAUACAAUACUUUAUUGAAAUGUUAAAUUUUUUUGGGAAAAUAGGCAUAUUUUACGUUAAUCGAGAAAAAGAAUCAUAUCCAGUAAGUUAGGACACAAUGUCUCGAAUUCUCGAUACGAGAAUAAAUGCCGAAAAUUUAUUAGAAAAAUCUUCAUCUUGAGAAAACGACGUGUCAUAUCCAAUGCGUUAGGACACAACGUAUCGAAUUCCCGAUACGAGAAUAAAUGCAGAAGAUUUACUUAUUUAAAAAGAUAUUUAAUUAUCUCGGGUUUAGAAAAGGGAUCAUGCCCAGUAAGUUAGGACACGAUCUUUUUUAAUGCCGGAGAUCAUCUAGAACUUGAGUUUGAAAAGAUUCGUGUAUUUAGAUUUAUUGUGAAAAUCGAGACCCAGUAAGUUAGGGUACGAUAUUCUCAAAUCCAAACACAAGAUUUUGCUUAUUCAAAAAUUGUAGUUUAUGCAUUGAAAUAAAUUAAUCUAAUAAAACACGAUGUUAAUACUCGUAACAAGGCGAUAUUGGAUACAAUAGUGCAAAAAUAAUACGAGCAAUUGCAACAAAAAUAAGAUAAAUAAAAAGUACAAAUCAAUAAUGUAUACAAGCAAAUAAAAUUAAAGCAUUCAUUCGAAUCAAUAAUGAAAAUGAAAUAAAUAAAUAGAUGAAUAAGAUUAUAAAAAGGUAAAAAGAUAUAUGCGUAAGCAUAAAAUUAUGAGAGUGUGAAAAAUCUAUGUACGUAAAUAUAUAUGUAAAUAUGUAUGUGUAUACUAAUGUAUAUAUAUAAAGUUAUGAAAUAUAUAAAAUAUAAAGGUAGGUAUAUAUAUAAACUAAAAAACAUAUAUGCGCGCACAUACUAUAAAAAUAUGUAUGUAUACAUGUAUAUAGAUUAACGUAUAUAUAAAAAAUGUAAGUAUAUACAUAUAUGAAAAUUAGAAAUAUGUAAGUAUGUAUAUAAGUAUGUACAUAUAUAUAUGUAUAUAACAAAUCUAAAAACAGUAUAAAUAAGUAAAUGACAAUAAUGAUAAUAAUAAUAAUAAUAAUAACUAAUUAGUUAAAUAAUAAUAAUAAAAAGGGACUAAAUUGAAAACAAAACAAAAUCACAGGGAAAAAUAAAAAAAUGAAAUGAAGUAAAGGAUUAAUCCGUGACGCGCUUGAAAGAAGAGGGACCGAGGUGAAAAAUAUCCCAAUCCACCAAAACGUAGAACUUCGAGGGACUUAAAUGAAAUCAGAACAAGAUUUUAGGGUAAAAUUAAAAAUAAAAUAAACCUAACAUGAAGGGACUAAAUUAUAAAAUGAGAGAAAUAUAGAGGGGCUAAAAGGGUAAAUAUACCCUUAGCCUCAAAAACGCGCGGAUCCUGGUCGGGUCGCCCGCGGGUAGCGCAAAACGGCGUCGUUUUGAGGCCGAAUGAAACAGGCCAAAACGGCGCCAUUUCAUUUGGGUAUUUAAACCAAAUUUCUGUUAAAAAAAUUAAUUAAGCCCCCAUUCCUAAAAAAAAUCAAAACUCUUCCUCUUUUCUCUCAAAAACCUCCCUCCUCCAGUCAUGGCGCCGGUUAUCGGCCACCGACGAAGGCGCCACCGUCCGCGGUGGCCGAAAAAACCAAAACGGCCUUUGUUUGCUCCUCUUUUCGAGUAGAGCUCGAUUUUGAGGCUUUUACACCCCGGAGGCCCGCCGAUGAAGGUAAAAAUCCUUCCUUUUUGUUCUUUUCUUUUUAUUUUUCGUAUUUUUUGAUAAAAAUGAAAAUAAAUGAAAAUAAAUAGAGUGAAAAAAUAUACAAAGAAAUAUUUUAGAUCGAAAUCAGUAAAUACCCUUUUUUAUUUCUUUUUCUCCUGAAUCUCGUAGAAAAAAUACAAAAUAGAGACGCCCAAAAUCUCGUAAAAAAAAACCAAAAAUCCCCCCCUUUUUACAUUUCACCACAUACUUGGCUUUAUAGCCGAAAGAAAAGAUGAAAAAUGCAGGAAAAUUCCCUCUUUUGCUACUGUUUUUCUAGUCUGCUUCCAUUUCUCUCUUUUUGCUACUUGUUUGCAGGUACAUGACAAGGUCAACUUGCCGUUUCGGUGCAAGGUCGGCUGGUGGUGGCAGGCCUCGGGCGUGGUGCGCGCUGAAGGCUCACAUGGGUAGCAGCAGGGGAACGGCGCCAGAAACCCUAGGGUUUCUGGCAUUCUGAAAAUGUCAAAUACUUUGGGCCAUUUGGGCUUUUGAAUUUUGGGUUGUAGGUCUGUUAUUGUAAUUGGGUCAGUAAAUUUUUUGGGUUGGUAGGUUCGGGCUAGGGUUUAUAUGGGCCCGGGCAAAAUAAGGUCUGUACAAAUGGUAGUUUAUGACUUUUUCCAAAUUGACAAGCAACACAUAGAGGAAAAUCCUUGAGAACUUUAACAGGAAUAGCAGAUGUUGAAGCUAGAUGUGCAAGAUUGUGUGUCGAAGUGUGUCCUAACCUACGAUGCCACAACUCAUGAGAAGUUAAACUUUUACAUUUCACACAAUCAUUAUUAUUUGAACUAACACUAGUGGUAAAGCAUGAAAGAUCAGACGAGAGAUACGAAAGAGCACUGAAUUUCUGAUUCACAUCCAAUUUGUAGAGACCAUUAACUUCAACUCCUUGUGCCAGAACAGCCUGCGUAGUGAGAUAUUUAACAACACAAUAUUUGGGAAAAAUUCAAAUGAUACAUUAUUGUCUUUGGUGAAUUGGGAUACUGAAAUUAAAUUUUUGGUAAUAUCAGGAGCAUAAAACAAUUUGUUUAAGUGCAGUUCUUUUUGAUCAGUGGAAAAAGUUGCAAUACCAGUAUUUAUAAUAGGGAUACAAGAACCAUUACCGACUUGAACUAUACCUGUAGCAAGAUUAGAGUGCUGUAAGCAUGUGGAAUCAUGUGUGAGAUGCCCAGUUGCACCAGUAUCUGGGUACCAAGCCGGAUCUACAACCACUGCUGGUGUAGCUUGCAAACACUGAGAGAUUCGAUUACCUUCUGAACUAGCUUGAGUAUAACCUGAACAAAAAGAGCCAGCACCACUAACAAAAGGAUUACCAUUGUUACAGGACAUAACAUAAGGGUUUGCAGGACUGAGAUUGCUGACUAUCAGCAUACUGCAGUUAUAUGCAGCAAAAUGUGAAGUACCAGCAUGAGUAGGAGGCAUUCCAGUAGAAGGUAUAUGUGCAGACACAUUAAGUCCUCCAGAACCAGCAAGAUUACCUUGAGUAUUCAACCCAGUAAAACCAGGAUGUCCAACUUGAGGACUAAACAUAGUAAAACCAGUAGUGGGACCAGGAUAACAAUAAAAACCAUUCACACCUUCAGAAGGCUUAACAUAGUUUGAUGACUGAGAAUUAGUAGCAGUAGAGUCAGAAAUACCAGUGAAUGAAGCAUUAAACCGAUGAAAACAUUUAGGGACCAAAUGCCCUAUCUUACCACAUAAUUGACAUUGGGGUCUUGAAUUAUUUGAGUACAUUUCUCCUCUACCACGUGGUCUAAACCCGCCAUUACCCUGAUAAUAUGGUCUGGUCUGAACAUUCAUUCCUUCAGAGCUAGAAUUAAGAGUCUGAUCAUUCGACUUAGUACUAUCACUGCUGUUUGCCGGGAGUUACUGCUGCACAGCUACAUUAGUAGUUAUACUCAUGACAUUUCCCUGAAGUUUUAUCCUCGCCUCUGCAUCCAACAAAGCUGAAACAACUCCUUGAAGAUCAUAAGGAUGCUAACUAGAAGUAAUAAUUGAAACAAUGUUCUCAUAUUCGAUAGGUAAACCGUUAAGAAUAGCAGAUUGUUGUUCCUCCUCAUGAAUAUUUUGACCACAUCCAGACAACACAUCACAGAUAUGCUUAAUUUCUGCUAAAUAUUCUCUCAUUGUCUUAUCUUGCUUCUUAACAUUAUGCAACAUGCAUCUAUACUGCAUUCUCUUAGUUCGUGAGUGAAGAGCAAAUAUCUGAUUCAGCUUAUUCCAUAUUUCAAAAGCAGAGUGCAAGCCAACCAGAUGUGUAUGCAGAGAAGGACUGACUGAGGACAUCAACCAUGACGCAAGAGCAGAAUCUUGUCGCUCAUACGAAACAAAAGCAGGAUUUUCUAUUUGUACUCCCGAAUCAGUGUUAAUCACCCUAGGAGGAAUAGCUAUAGUUCCCUCUACAUAACUUUGUAGCCUAUGUGUUUUCAAAGUUAGGUAAACAUGCUGUUUCCAUGACAGAAAAUUGCUUUCAUCAAUCAACAGAGAUAUUUUAUUGGUCCAAAUGGCAGUAAAUGAUUUACUAACAUCAGAUUUGACCUCAAAAGUAGGAUUCACAGUUUCAUUAUUCAUCGAUUCAUUUUGUUCAGAAUUAUUGACAGACAUCGCAGCCAAAGAUCACUCAAGAACAAAAAUAAUAGCUGAAGAACAAGAGAUUCUGCUUACAGAGACAUUUAAUCAAACACACGGCAGACGCAAAUUACAGCUGAUUAUCAUCAAUUCCAAAGCUCUGAUACCAUGUCGAAAAGCUGCGUACAUUAUAAAAGAAACUAUAACAUUGAUGUAUUCUGAAAGCAAAACAUAAAAGAUGAAGAAAUCAUGAUGUUUAUGAAUUAGAAAGAAAUCACAGAUAACAGAAUAAAAAGAAGUAAAAAGAAGAACAAGUGAGAGAGAUUUUGAGUGUAACACUCUAUUUCUUAUUCAACAUUAUAAGCAUUCAGAAUGAAGAGUAGCACCUAGGCUACUUAUAGCAGUUCAGGUGUUCUAGAUAAUUUGUUAGCAAAAAAUAACAAACAAGUUACAGCUUUACCAGAAAUAACAGACUUAAAUCAUAAGCCAGUAUCAAGCAUUUAACAGAAAUACUAAACCAGCACAAGCACCUUGCGAGAAAGCUAUAUUGUGCUUAUCUCAAACAUAUUAUCGAACACCUGCAUAUCAUUCUUACUGCCUGAUACCCCCCCUCUUUUUGGUGUCUAAGACAAAUUCAUAUCUAAUUGAGUCAAGUCGGAUCCCGAUGAGUAGGAGCACUUAUUUUCUCAGUGUGUCUGCACUCCUAUUUUGACAUAUUCGUCUAUACGAUGACUAUCUUCAGCAGGGAAUGCAUCACCUUCGGUAGCUCCUAAGGCUUUCACCAUUUCCAUCCCCUUAAGUUGGUGGAAAUCUGGAACUCUAUUCUUGAUGCUUCCAACCUUAACAUACUUGGUCUUGGCCUUAUACUCCGCCUCCAAUUGGAAUGGACCAAGGUCUGAGAUGCCACUAUUUUAAUUCUUUUGUUUUCUUCAAAAAAUAUCUUUGCAUGGGCUCUGCUAGCUUCCUUUAGUUUACUCCAAAAAAAAGGCAUAAGGUCCAUAAAACAUACUGCAAAAAAAGAUGAAAUUCAGGUUGACAGCUUAGAACUUUCUGAUUCAUUUAAUGCGUAAUGCUUGCACUUAUAUGAUUGACCAUGCCUCAGGCAAAUCCUACAACCAUUAUAAGUGUUUCAGCUAUAACCAUCACUUAGAAAACUAAACUUCGCCAUUUACUACCCUACAACUAGGACAGUUUAUUAGUUUUGGUUAAAU
Molecule: long non-coding RNA, 8763 nt
Filed under: Gossypium barbadense (sea-island cotton)
Lineage: Eukaryota; Viridiplantae; Streptophyta; Magnoliopsida; Malvales; Malvaceae
Description: long non-coding RNA (GBAR_LNC019518)
Source: RNAcentral